RNAcentral lists this long non-coding RNA (243 nucleotides) under Phaseolus vulgaris (common bean). Its description in RNAcentral is "long non-coding RNA (PVUL_LNC005275)". The record is from RNAcentral. Lineage: Eukaryota; Viridiplantae; Streptophyta; Magnoliopsida; Fabales; Fabaceae.
AAAUAACAGUGUUGUCACAAAUCCAAAUGAAGAAGGAUCAUAAAAAAACACAAAGUAUACACAUGGUUCCUGAAAAUUGAAACUUGUGUACGUGGUCCCUUUAAUAUCGAAUUUGGAAGGGAUAACAUGCACGUAAUAGCGUGACUUACACACGUAUUUAACACGGAGAAGUUAGGGAUCUGAUUAAUUAGUAUAUUUAUUUAUUUAUUUUAUUAAGAUAAAAAUAAACAAGUUUCUUUUCAA